UACGUAGGUGGCUAGCGUUACUCGGAAUUACUAGGUGUAAAGGGCAGGUAGGUGGUCCAGUAAGUUGUGGGUGUAAGCCCCGAUAAAAUCGGGGACGUCUCACAAUACUGCUGGGCUUGAGUGUGGUAUGAGGAACCAGAAUUCCCGGUGUAGCGGUGAAAUGCGUAGAUAUCGGGAGGAAUACCGAUGGCGAAAGCGGGUUCCUGGGCCAUUACUGACACUGAUCUGCGAAAGCGUGGGGAGCA
RNAcentral lists this ribosomal RNA (245 nucleotides) under uncultured bacterium. Its description in RNAcentral is "partial 16S ribosomal RNA". It matches the Rfam family "Bacterial small subunit ribosomal RNA", at positions 524 to 770 of the family's 1533-position model. The record is from RNAcentral.